RNAcentral lists this long non-coding RNA (769 nucleotides) under Sus scrofa (pig). RNAcentral describes it as "lncRNA (ENSSSCG00055007284.1)". The record is from RNAcentral. Lineage: Eukaryota; Metazoa; Chordata; Mammalia; Artiodactyla; Suidae.
CUCUCCCUCCUGUGACACUGUCACCCACAGGAGCAGAUCUGAACGCUCAGAAAGCCACACGUAGUUGCGGGUACGAACAUUUCCCUUAAUGAUCGUCCCAGCCUCUGCUGCACCUCAGUCAUUCUGUGAGGUGAGGAGCUUUUACACAAAGUAUUCCUGGGGUUGGGGGGGGGAAGGGUACUUUCUACCUCUUUCCUGAAAAACACAACCUUGCUUUCUUUGCAUUACUGAUCAAAGCCCACUUCCACAAAGAUGCCUGAGAUGAAUCCCAGUGGGUCCUCAUUAAAGGGCUCCCUCCAGCCUUCAGGACGCUCCACCCUCUUACCGUGUCUUCCCCAGACUCGGCCCCGGGGGCUGUAAACCCGGUUUCCAGCUCCCAGGUGACAUCAUCAAUGCCGCUUCUCAAGGAACACGGUUUCCCAGGCCUCCGUCACUGUUUCCAUCCCCGUGGAAAGUAAAAAGGAAGGCGUUUUGAGAAUCCACCUCUCAGCACAAACCCUCAAUUACAUCCUUCCUCAGCAGGAAUCGGGGUUUGAUGUGCAGAUUCCACGUCUGGAGAAAAGGAGAAAAGAGACACGGCCUGUUGGAGAAAGGCCAUCAAGACAGGAGCUUACGAGAGAUCAGACUUCAGGCAGGACGUGAUUGUUGGCCUGGAGACGCCGGGAGAGAGGUUUAUUUUUCCAACCAUUACCCAUAAUUAAUCAGCACUUCCAUAGAUUAAAACACUCUUCUGAUACCAGAUAUGCUGUACAAGGUUUUUUCCUUUAAU